AUUGAACGCUGGCGGCAUGCUUUACACAUGCAAGUCGAACGGUAACAGGCCGCAAGGUGCUGACGAGUGGCGCACGGGUGAGUAAUGCAUCGGAACGUGCCCAGUCGUGGGGGAUAACUACUCGAAAGAGUAGCUAAUACCGCAUACGAUCUAUGGAUGAAAGCGGGGGACCGUAAGGCCUCGCGCGAUUGGAGCGGCCGAUGUCAGAUUAGGUAGUUGGUGGGGUAAAGGCUCACCAAGCCAACGAUCUGUAGCUGGUCUGAGAGGACGACCAGCCACACUGGGACUGAGACACGGCCCAGACUCCUAUGGGAGGCAGCAGUGGGGAAUUUUGGACAAUGGGCGCAAGCCUGAUCCAGCAAUGCCGCGUGCAGGAAGAAGGCCUUCGGGUUGUAAACUGCUUUUGUACGGAACGAAACGGCUCUGGUUAAUACCCGGGGCUAAUGACGGUACCGUAAGAAUAAGCACCGGCUAACUACGUG
RNAcentral lists this ribosomal RNA (482 nucleotides) under uncultured bacterium. RNAcentral's name for it is "partial 16S ribosomal RNA". It matches the Rfam family "Bacterial small subunit ribosomal RNA", at positions 30 to 507 of the family's 1533-position model. The record is from RNAcentral.